AGCGAACGCUGGCGGCAGGCCUAACACAUGCAAGUCGAACGAACUCUUCGGAGUUAGUGGCGGACGGGGGAGUAACCCGUGGGAACGUGCCUUUUGGUUCGGAAUAACUCAGGGAAACUUGUGCUAAUACCGAAUGUGCCCUUCGGGGGAAAGAUUUAUCGCGAUUAGAGCGGCCCGCGUCUGAUUAGCUAGUUGGGGAGGUAACGGCUCACCAAGGCGCGGAUCAGUAGCUGGGCUGUGAGGAUGACCAGCGACACUGGGACUGGGACACGGCCCAGACUCCUACGGGAGGCAGCAGUGGGGGAUCUUGCGCAAUGGGGGAAAGCCUGACGCAGCCAGGCCGGGUGAAUGAUGAAGGUCGGAGGAUUGUAAAAUUCUUUCACCGGGGACGAUAAUGACGGUACCCGGAGAAGAAGCCCCGGCUAACUUCGUG
RNAcentral lists this ribosomal RNA (433 nucleotides) under uncultured bacterium. Its description in RNAcentral is "partial 16S ribosomal RNA". It matches the Rfam family "Bacterial small subunit ribosomal RNA", at positions 29 to 507 of the family's 1533-position model. The record is from RNAcentral.